Mercenaria mercenaria is the source of this 2733-nucleotide RNA transcript. RefSeq lists it as uncharacterized. NCBI's taxonomy places the organism in Eukaryota, Metazoa, Mollusca, Bivalvia, Venerida, Veneridae. The transcript is spliced from 8 exons. The record is from RefSeq and is a predicted model, not a curated record.
CUUCUUUAUCAGUGGCAUUUAACCUUUUUAAAAUAAUACGCUGAUAUAGAAGUUUUAUGUAUAAUAUUGCGAAAUCAUAUAUUUAAAUGAAUAAUAUGGUGUACUCACAUUUGACAAGAAAUCUGAUCAAGGAUACAGCUUUCUCAAUUAAGACGAAGGAUCAUCAUUUGAUUGUUCGAUUCUUAGAGCAGACAGACCAUAAAAUGAUUUCACAAUGACAAGCAUAACCUGCAUUUGCUUGAUUAUUGUGAUAUCUGGACAGCUUGUAUAUGCAUCCUCGAAAGAAUGUGUAACGCAACAAGUCAAAGCGCUAUUUGCUUUGGAUGGGACCAUAAAUAUCAAUGAUGGCCAGAGAGAUUUAAUGCUUCGAUUGGUGGAAGAGGUUGUCACAAGUUUGCCUGAAGGUAGUGAAGGUGGAUGUGUUUACAUUAAUCAGGAAAGUAAGGAGAUAACACGAUUUACGAUUUCCGGUUCAAGACCCAAUAUGACAGAAGAGGCAGAGGGUGUUCAAUGGGACCCUACAGGAGAAACAAUGACUGCUAGAGCGCUCGCCAAAGAAGUAAAUGUGAGCUUUCCUGUUGCAUUUUUGCAGCGCAAAGCAGAGAUAUUUUACUUACUAGUCAGUGACAAAACUCUUAUUGAAAGUUUUCCAGAGGUCCUUUUGAAAAAGAAAAUUUUCAUUGUUGUUUUUUGAUCGGCCAUACCAGACAAGCUGAAGAAUUUAGCGAGCAGUACCGAACAUAUCAAACUCAUUCGCAACUUCAACGAUCUUAAAAGUGUUGUCGGAACGGUUACACAACGUACAUGCAGAGAUUCCUUCCUUAAAUGUGAUGUUGACGAGUACAUGGGUAAAAGGGCCAGCAAGUGCACAAGUUGUAUGAACGUUUGUUUGCAAACAACAUCUAAGCAAUCACGGGCCUGUAAACUUCACUGUCCCUACAUAUUGCUUCCACCAAGAGAAUAUGCAGUGAAGAUAGUGAAAGAUCCACUAAAAGAUGACAUUGUGACGGCAGUUGUAGAAGACAAUAAGUAUAUAACCCUUGUUGUGAUAAGUGCAUUCGCUUUCAUUAUUAUAUUCAACGUUGGAAUUGGAGUAGUGUGCUAUAGGAAGAAUUUGCUAUGUUUUCAUCGGAAUGCACGGCAAAUUAACCGGCACGAAAUAGAAAUGGAUAUAAUGCAAAGUUUUCCUCUUCCAGACAAUGUAGCAGUCCCUGAAACUGGAGGACAUGGGGAUAACGAACCGAUUCAACGUCAUGCCGAUGGCGCCACUCAACGUCUGCUUGACAAUUUACCAUCCGCAGAGGAAUAUGGUCAGGAUCGCGACGGACAGCAUGAGCCAAGAGAUUUUCUGAAAAAUGAAAAUGAAGAAGAAAUGAAUCAUCUAGCUUUGGGUGAGCCUCCGAUGAUAGAUGUACAGACUGGAAAAUGUUUCGGCACGAGACAGUCAGAAGACAUGAUUUAAGGACUGGGAACAGAAUGUCAGAACGGCACAGUUUAUAAAAUAUUUGUCUUAGUUUUCAAAUUAUGUAUCAAUUAUCGUCUAAAAUUAUAAGGAUUACCUGACUGAUUUUUGUGGUCAGUGGCAACAUACCUGAUUCAUGUUAAAGAAAAAGAAGUCACACCGUUUUAAAUAUUGGAUAAGUAUUUGAUUGUAAAAAUAGGCUUAUCUUUUUACAUAUUAAUAAAAGAUGCAAAGCCUAAAACAGCCAAAACGUAGACAUACAAAGAAAUAUGAAUGUGGUUGGUAAUGAACAAGGGUAUGACGUUUCCCAAAGAAAAAACAAAUCUGCCGAAACUAUGGUGGACAGUGGAGGAAGUACGGAAGGUGGUCGAACAAAUGAUGUAUAUUGCAGUUUCGCCGCGGAUGAACAUAAAACGCAAUGGACAAUGAACUUAACGUAUUGAGCUCUGUAGUGUAACUAAUCCUAAUGUAACAGGAAAUUGAAGAAAUUCUGACUAAGUAUUGUUUCAAUUGAAAUCAAUGCAAAAGGCGUACAAUUAAUUUAGUUGAGGACAGUUAAUAUCAAAAUGCCAAAGAUGAAAUAAAAAAAUGAUUACUUGGAACUUCAAAAAUGUGCUGGGGAGGCGUUCUCUGCAAGCUUUUACUAGUCAAUGUAGGAUAAGGAAAAUAUAUUAAGAUCAAGCAAGCGCUUUAAGCAGGUAUUGCAGUGGUUGCCGGAACCAACGUGAUGCACAUAACGUCAAGCAGCCUUGAUAAGAAUGAGUAGCAUUAGCAGUUAGGAAAUGAAAAAGUUCCGUGUACACCGCCGUAUGAACACAUCUGCGGAUGUCUCUAAUUGUGUUUUGGUACUUGUAACGUGUAAAGAUUUUGAGUUCUGCUCAACCUGGUGAUAGAGGACGCGGACGGUAGCAUGCAUUUCCACUACUUUACAUGAACAGGCUCAAUCACACCGAGCCUGAAAUAUUUUCAUUUUUGUCGUGUUGUGCGACCCGUGGAGUUUCCAGUUUUCUACUAAUAGUUGUGAAAUUUACAAAAUAGCUGUAUGAUUUCGUCGAUAUCUUCUCUCCAUAAUUAUGAUAAAACAUGUAUUUAUUCAAGACGCUAAGACAAAUGGUGGUCCAGGACAAGAGUUUAUCAGCUUUCGCUAUAGUUAGUCUGCAUGUAGUGUAGAGGAGACUAGUUCAUAAGUCAUCUUUAACAAUCAAAUUAUAGCGACCUUUUGACUUACUCUCUGCAUUUCUGUAAAUAUUAAACAAAAAUCACAAACACUA